This 1346-nucleotide ribosomal RNA is filed under the name uncultured bacterium. RNAcentral's name for it is "partial 16S ribosomal RNA". It matches the Rfam family "Bacterial small subunit ribosomal RNA", at positions 28 to 1381 of the family's 1533-position model. The record is from RNAcentral.
GACGAACGCUGGCGGCGUGCUUAACACAUGCAAGUCGAACGGAAAGGCCCUGCUUUUGUGGGGUGCUCGAGUGGCGAACGGGUGAGUAACACGUGAGUAACCUGCCCUUGACUUUGGGAUAACUUCAGGAAACUGGGGCUAAUACCGGAUAGGAGCUCCUGCUGCAUGGUGGGGGUUGGAAAGUUUCGGCGGUUGGGGAUGGACUCGCGGCUUAUCAGCUUGUUGGUGGGGUAGUGGCUUACCAAGGCUUUGACGGGUAGCCGGCCUGAGAGGGUGACCGGCCACAUUGGGACUGAGAUACGGCCCAGACUCCUACGGGAGGCAGCAGUGGGGAAUAUUGCACAAUGGGCGGAAGCCUGAUGCAGCAACGCCGCGUGCGGGAUGACGGCCUUCGGGUUGUAAACCGCUUUCGCCUGUGACGAAGCGUGAGUGACGGUAAUGGGUAAAGAAGCACCGGCUAACUACGUGCCAGCAGCCGCGGUGAUACGUAGGGUGCGAGCGUUGUCCGGAUUUAUUGGGCGUAAAGGGCUCGUAGGUGGUUGAUCGCGUCGGAAGUGUAAUCUUGGGGCUUAACCCUGAGCGUGCUUUCGAUACGGGUUGACUUGAGGAAGGUAGGGGAGAAUGGAAUUCCUGGUGGAGCGGUGGAAUGCGCAGAUAUCAGGAGGAACACCAGUGGCGAAGGCGGUUCUCUGGGCCUUUCCUGACGCUGAGGAGCGAAAGCGUGGGGAGCGAACAGGCUUAGAUACCCUGGUAGUCCACGCUGUAAACGGUGGGUACUAGGUGUGGGGUCCAUUCCACGGGUUCCGUGCCGUAGCUAACGCUUUAAGUACCCCGCCUGGGGAGUACGGCCGCAAGGCUAAAACUCAAAGGAAUUGACGGGGCCCCGCACAAGCGGCGGAGCAUGCGGAUUAAUUCGAUGCAACGCGUAGAACCUUACCUGGGUUUGACAUGGAUCGGGAGUGCUCAGAGAUGGGUGUGCCUCUUUUGGGGUCGGUUCACAGGUGGUGCAUGCCUGUCGUCAGCUCGUGUCGUGAGAUGUUGGGUUAAGUCCCGCAACGAGCGCAACCCUUGUUCACUGUUGCCAGCACGUUAUGGUGGGGACUCAGUGGAGACCGCCGGGGUCAACUCGGAGGAAGGUGGGGAUGACGUCAAGUCAUCAUGCCCCUUAUGUCCAGGGCUUCACGCACGCUACAAUGGCUGGUACAGAGAGUGGCGAGCCUGUGAGGGUGAGCGAAUCUCGGGAAGCCGGUCUCAGUUCGGAUUGGGGUCUGCAACUCGACCUCAUGAAGUCGGAGUCGCUAGUAAUCGCAGAUCAGCAACGCUGCGGUGAAUACGUUCCCGGGGCU